RNAcentral lists this long non-coding RNA (508 nucleotides) under Homo sapiens (human). Its description in RNAcentral is "HSALNT0093980". Lineage: Eukaryota; Metazoa; Chordata; Mammalia; Primates; Hominidae. The record is from RNAcentral.
CAGGCUUGCACCAAAACAUCAGAUCUUCCUGGGUCUUGAGAUAGCUAGUUUUCAGACUGCAACUACACCAUCAUCUCUCCUGGUUCUCAGACCUUCAGACUUAGACUGAAACUUACAUAAUCAGCUCUCCUGGUCUCCAGCUUGCUGACAGCAGACUUUAGGACUUGUUAGACUCCACAGUGAAAGAUCACUCUGACUGCUACAUGGAAAAUGUGCUGGGGAGAAACAAGACUGCAGGAAAUAAGAGCAGUGAACAAGCUCUUGCUGUAAUUCAAGUCAGGUGUAGAAGCUGGAGCUGGAGCAGCCAUUCUGAACUAUGUCGAAAAUCUACCUGGAAAUAAAAAGUUGACUCACCGAUUCACACCAUUUCCAUUGCGUAACACAUGGAAACUAAUGGUGUUCUACAAUUGCUGAAGCAAGUGUAACACUAAAGUAAACUCAAGGGAUCUUUUCUAUUUACGGGCCAAUGAGAUUUCUAACCUCCAGUCCUAGAAGAUGCCUUCAAGCC